This 460-nucleotide ribosomal RNA is filed under the name uncultured bacterium. Its description in RNAcentral is "partial 16S ribosomal RNA". It matches the Rfam family "Bacterial small subunit ribosomal RNA", at positions 338 to 795 of the family's 1533-position model. The record is from RNAcentral.
CCUACGGGAGGCAGCAGUGAGGAAUAUUGGUCAAUGGACGAGAGUCUGAACCAGCCAAGUAGCGUGAAGGAUGACUGCCCUAUGGGUUGUAAACUUCUUUUAUAUGGGAAUAAAAUGUUCCACGUGUGGGCUUUUGUAUGUACCAUAUGAAUAAGGAUCGGCUAACUCAGUGCCAGCAGCCGCGGUAAUACGGAGGAUCCGAGCGUUAUCCGGAUUUAUUGGGUUUAAAGGGAGCGUAGGUGGAUUGUUAAGUCAGUUGUGAAAGUUUGCGGCUCAACCUGAAAAUUGCAGUUGAAACUGGCAGUCUUGAGUACAGUAGAGGUGGGCAGAAUUCGUGGUGUAGCGGUGAAAUGCUUAGAGAUCACGAAGAACUCCGAUUGCGAAGGCAGCUCACUGGACUGCAACUGACACUGAGGCUCGAAAGUGUGGGUAUCAAACAGGAUUAGAUACCCCGGUAGUC